CAGGGAUGACUAGGACUCCUCCUUGAUUAUAGAAAAUCCCAGAGACCAGUAGAGGAGACAAGUGCUUGAGAAAAAUGACAAAACUGUUAUGUUAAGUAGUGAAUCUCCUCUUUUCCUCAGGCCCACUUUGGCCUCUGACAGUACGGAGUUGACGAGUCAGCCUCUUUUUAUGUGAAAACAUCUAUCAUGUCUCCCCAAAGACUUGACUAAACAUUCUUCUGAUAUGAGUGAGCUCUUCCCAAGAACAACCUCAUUUGCUGGAAGAUGUGGUUUUCGUAAGAGUCUGAAACUACUGCACUAUCCUGUCCUGCUAUUUGGUCAUACUUCUCUGGUGACAUUCUGGACUUGGCACAAUAGACGUGCCCUCACAUGCAGGUAUCUAGCCUUUUCUAGAAAGGUUUUAAAUUCAUUUCCUAGGAAUAAAGUCAAGCCCUUGAGAGACUCAUGAAUUCUCUAGGUUCUCAUUUUACAAGUCAACUCUAGGGAAUAUUACUUUAAUCUACCUUUGCUGAAAACUCUAGGAAAACUGCUUUUCAAUUCCUUUUUCUAGUGAACAGCAUUCCAAUACUUAAUCCUUACAGACUUUCAGAGGUACUCCCUUACAUCACCCACAGUAGAAGUAACACGAGAAGGCACACAGUCAUCUCUUGCGUCCACGUCCUAUCAGUGCCUUUGCAUUGUUGACAAGUGAUGGGUGGGCUCUGACAUCAGGAGUUGCAAAUGGCUGAUGAUUCAGAUGAUCGCUUGCUAAGUAAAUCUGGGUAAACCCUCAAAAUGCAAUGUUUAUUUUUUCUCCUGACCACAAUAAUCAGAAAAUACCCCUGGAUUAUAAGAAUCAUUAUAAACAGGCUUUCUCUGGCUCACUACUCACAUACCAGAAUUGGGCUAACUCCACUGAAGACUUGCCUACUCUGAAAGGAUUGGAGUAUUUCUGACAAGCUUAUACAUGUUCACCUCUUCCUAGUAUCACCUUCAUUGCUAUCAUGUCUACUAUAAUUAUCAUGAAUUGGAAACCAUGCAGAACAUUUUGCAUAUAUUAUAUAAUGUAAUCUCCCAAUAACAUUUAAGGCAGAUGCUAUGAAAAUUUCCACUUCACUUAUGAAUAAACUGAGUCUCAUGCCCAUGGCCAUAGAGUAAGUACAUAGCAUAGCCCUUAUUUUAAAAACUUUUCAUCAUAGAAAACAUCUCUUCCUUUCUCCAGUGACCCUCUGUGUGAACUCCUGCUUAAUCUCCAGCUACAUGGGUUCCCAAGUCAUUUCAGGGAUGUUUCCCUUUGAAAUGGCUUUUGGGUUUAUAGGUUCUCCUUAUCUCUGUUCUUCAGUGUC
Molecule: long non-coding RNA, 1325 nt
Filed under: Callithrix jacchus (white-tufted-ear marmoset)
Lineage: Eukaryota; Metazoa; Chordata; Mammalia; Primates; Cebidae
Description: lncRNA (ENSCJAG00000063894.2)
Source: RNAcentral